GGCUCAGUAACACGUGGAGAACCUACCCUCAGAUGGGGGAUAAUCCAGGGAAACUGGGAAUAAUACCCCAUAGGUCUCGAUUGCUGGAAUGCUUUGAGGCUGAAAGUUCCGACGUCUGAGGAUGGCUCUGCGGCCUAUCAGGUAGUAGUGAGGGUAACGUCCUCACUAGCCGAUGACGGGUACGGGCGUUGAGAGACGGAGCCCGGAGAUGGACUCUGAGACACGAGUCCAGGCCCUACGGGGCGCAGCAGGCGCGAAACCUCCGCAAUGCUCGAAAGAGUGACGGGGAGAUUCCAAGUGCCUACGCUUCGCGUAGGCUGUUCAGAUGCCUAAAAAGCAUUUGGAGGAAGGACUGGGUAAGACGGGUGCCAGCCGCCGCGGUAAUACCCGCGGUUCGAGUGGUGGUCGAUUUUAUUGGGCCUAAAGCGUCCGUAGCCUGUCUGGUAAAUGCCUGGGUAAAUCGUCUGGCUCAACCAAACGAAUUCCGGGUAGACUACUAGACUUGGGACCGGUUGAGGGAGAGGGUACUUCAGGGGUAGGAGUGAAAUCUUGUAAUCCCUGAAGGACCACCAGUGGCGAAGGCGCUCUCCUAGAACGGGUCCGACGGUGAGGGACGAAAGCCAGGGGAGCAAACCGGAUUAGAUACCCGGGUAGUCCUGGCCGUAAACGAUGCGGGCUUUGCAUUGGGGAUCCUACGAGGGUGCCCAGUGCCGGAGCGAAGGCGUUAAGCCCGUCGCCUGGGAAGUAUGGUCGCAAGGCUGAAACUUAAAGGAAUUGGCGGGGGAGCACCGCAAUGGGAGGAGCGUGCGGUUUAAUUGGAGUCAACGCCGGA
Molecule: ribosomal RNA, 832 nt
Filed under: uncultured archaeon
Lineage: Archaea
Description: bacterial SSU rRNA
Rfam family: Archaeal small subunit ribosomal RNA
Source: RNAcentral